UGGGAAUUUUGGACAAUGGGGGCAACCCUGAUCCAGCAAUGCCGCGUGUGUGAAGAAGGCCUUCGGGUUGUAAAGCACUUUUGUCCGGAAAGAAAACGCCGUGGUUAAUACCCGUGGCGGAUGACGGUACCGGAAGAAUAAGCACCGGCUAACUACGUGCCAGCAGCCGCGGUAAUACGUAGGGUGCAAGCGUUAAUCGGAAUUACUGGGCGUAAAGCGUGCGCAGGCGGUCCGCUAAGACAGAUGUGAAAUCCCCGGGCUUAACCUGGGAACUGCAUUUGUGACUGGCGGGCUAGAGUAUGGCAGAGGGGGGUAGAAUUCCACGUGUAGCAGUGAAAUGCGUAGAGAUGUGGAGGAAUACCGAUGGCGAAGGCAGCCCCCUGGGCCAAUACUGACGC
RNAcentral lists this ribosomal RNA (398 nucleotides) under uncultured bacterium. Its description in RNAcentral is "partial 16S ribosomal RNA". It matches the Rfam family "Bacterial small subunit ribosomal RNA", at positions 356 to 746 of the family's 1533-position model. The record is from RNAcentral.